This 490-nucleotide ribosomal RNA is filed under the name uncultured bacterium. Its description in RNAcentral is "partial 16S ribosomal RNA". It matches the Rfam family "Bacterial small subunit ribosomal RNA", at positions 30 to 507 of the family's 1533-position model. The record is from RNAcentral.
AUUGAACGCUGGCGGCAGGCCUAACACAUGCAAGUCGAACGGUAACAGGAAGAAGCUUGCUUCUUUGCUGACGAGUGGCGGACGGGUGAGUAAUGUCUGGGAAACUGCCUGAUGGAGGGGGAUAACUACUGGAAACGGUAGCUAAUACCGCAUAAUGUCGCAAGACCAAAGAGGGGGACCUUCAGGCCUCUUGCCAUCGGAUGUGCCCAGAUGGGAUUAGCUAGUAGGUGGGGUAACGGCUCACCUAGGCGACGAUCCCUAGCUGGUCUGAGAGGAUGACCAGCCACACUGGAACUGAGACACGGUCCAGACUCCUACGGGAGGCAGCAGUGGGGAAUAUUGCACAAUGGGCGCAAGCCUGAUGCAGCUAUGCCGCGUGUAUGAAGAAGGCCUUCGGGUUGUAAAGUACUUUCAGCGGGGAGGAAGGGAGUAAAGUUAAUACCUUUGCUCAUUGACGUUACCCGCAGAAGAAGCACCGGCUAACUCCGUG